UGGGGAAUAUUGCACAAUGGGGGAAACCCUGAUGCAGCGACGCCGCGUGAGUGAAGAAGCAUUUCGGUGCGUAAAGCUCUGUCAGCGGGGAAGAAAGGCGGUUCUCGCGAACCGCGGACGGUACCCGACCAAGAAGCCCCGGCUAACUACGUGCCAGCAGCCGCGGUAAUACGUAGGGGGCAAGCGUUAUCCGGAUUUACUGGGUGUAAAGGGAGCGUAGACGGCGAUGCAAGUCUGGAGUGAAAGGCCGGGGCCCAACCCCGGGACUGCUCUGGAAACUGCAAGGCUGGAGUACAGGAGAGGUAAGUGGAAUUCCUAGUGUAGCGGUGAAAUGCGUAGAUAUUAGGAGGAACACCAGUGGCGAAGGCGGCUUACUGGACUGUAACUGACGUUGAGGCUCGAAAGCGUGGGGAGCAAACAGG
Molecule: ribosomal RNA, 422 nt
Filed under: uncultured bacterium
Lineage: Bacteria
Description: bacterial SSU rRNA
Rfam family: Bacterial small subunit ribosomal RNA
Source: RNAcentral